UAGGGGGUGACAGGUCACAUCGUCGGAAGCACGGCGGGUGUCCGAAGUAUGUGAUACUGCGGCGCCUACACAUAAGCAGAAGCAGUCCUCCAGCCUUUGCCUCCCAGUAACGAUUGGAUUACAGACGCACGCCACCGCGCCCGGCGAGAACGAAAGAAGAUUUUUGAGCAUUUGAGUUGAACAACUGAGUGACGUCACUCAAUAGUAUCUUUUCCGGCUUCACGCUACGCAAGACCUGCUCAUGCGCGAGCCCAGUAUCCACAUAGGCGGAUCGGCUGAUUUUUUCAAAGCCUGGCAGCUGCGGAGACCUUGCCCAGUCCAGCAGGGGGUUAAAAAGGUGAGCUCAGCUCUACAUCGCAAUUAUGUCCUGCGCUGUACUCGCAAUCGCUAAUUUUGGCCAACCUGGAGCAAGUUCAGCCCACAGUAAUGUGGGAUUUUUCCAGCCCUACCUGUGCAGGAACUCGACAGGGUUUGAAGGAGCACAGGGCCCAGUUUACUUGCCUCGUCAGACACCGUCAUCCUCUGCCUAAAAGCUAACAUGCUGUCGAUGAAUCUCUGCUACAAGACCGGUUGCUUUGCCUCCCCCUCACGUGCAUUUGUCCCCCUGAAUUUUGUG
Anguilla anguilla (European eel) is the source of this 616-nucleotide long non-coding RNA. RefSeq lists it as uncharacterized. The record is from RefSeq and is a predicted model, not a curated record. The transcript is spliced from 3 exons. Lineage: Eukaryota; Metazoa; Chordata; Actinopteri; Anguilliformes; Anguillidae.